AACUGUAAAUGUCUUUUGGUUUUGAAAGUCGCUUUCCAUCUAGUUACAAAUUGAAGAAGUGACUCAACUCGGUAGAAUUUCCCUAAUUCGGAAUGCCUUGAUUUUUUUGCCACUGCCUAUGGAAAACUCUUUCUUAAGGGCAGGCAAAGAUAGCUUGUAGCAAACCUCCACAGGAGGGCACUAUAGUGUGAUUGGUUCAAGCUGCGGCAGCUGAGAGCUGAGGCCCAUUCUGUCCUUACCCGGGUUUGGAUGAAGAGUCUCAAAGAGACUGUGUGCAUUUCCUGAGCUGGAAAAUUCUAUGUAGUCAAAACUCAGGAUGGUAGGUUUCAUGGGAGUUGGUGUUUCCUCUAUCGGAUAAAAACGACUAGAUCUGCCAUUGCCUGGUGACACAUGACACCGCUUUGCAGCUCUGACAGGAGAACUGUGGUACUGUCCAUAUGUUCAUAUUCAGGAGAAAGGUUUUUAUUGCCAAGCAUCUGAAAGUUGACAUGCCAAGUAUUAAAGGCACGCACAUAAACACAGCUAUUGAUUCUGAACUCCAUCUUGACAUCUGAUUAUGGGAAACCAAGCUUGCCACAUGGAAUAUUGGUUGAAUUUUGUCAGCAAGAGGAUUUGUCAUCAAUAUUCAGAGAGAUAGACUUCUUCAAAUCCUGAAGUUACUUCCUGUUUUCUGAACAGCAGGAUACCAACUUGACUGUGACAUCUUAGAGACAAGUCGCUUCUAGAAUUUGCUUGAUAUUUUCCUACAAAUGUAUUGCAUUUAAAGAUGCUAUUUAAAAUUCUUAACCCAUUGGAUUCCUCCCUGUACACUCCUUCCUCACUUCCUUGUUGAAAUAAGAAGCGGCGGGGCUGCGUCCCCAACACCCCGGCCGCUUGGCUAGCUCACGCCCGAAAUAACAACACACAAACUGUAUUCAUUUAAGAACUGCUUGGCCCCUGAACUCUAGCCCUUACAGGCUAAUUCUCGCACCUGGACUAGCCCAUUUCUAAUGAUGUGUGUAAGCACCCCAAGGUGCGCUUACCGGGAAGAUUCUAGCCUACAUCCAUCUUCAUCGUGUGUGCCUCAGAGAGCAGAGCUAUCGCGUCUACCCGGGAGAGCUGAGCAUGGCGUCUGUGCUCCCGAGCUGUCGGCUCUCUCCCUGGAAGCAGAGCAGAGUCUGACCUCACUUCCUCUUCCGCCCAGAAUUCUAUUCUGUUUACUCCUCCCAUCUAUGUUCCAAGCCAUGAGGCCAAGCAGCUGGUUUAUUAUAACUUAACCAAUGAAAUCAACAGAUUGAUAUAUGACACUCCCACAUCACUUCCUCCUUUCUGUCUUCUCUCCCUUCUGCUUCCCCCUUUUCUCUUCCUAUUUCUACCUUUGCCUUUUGGUUGUGGAUCCUUCUAUGAUGGGUGCUUUGCCACUGAAGCCCAGUAUCUUUACUAGGCUAGACUAUGUCCUGCAGUUUGUCAUUCUUUGCUCUUUUCCAGAAUGAUCGUUCCCUUUGUUCCAUAAAGGUUGUCUUCAGGCACUUUGGAAAUAUUAUUUCAAUAUGUUUGGGUGGCUUGUUGCCAAUCCUUUCUUCCCAGUAUUUGGAGAUAGUGGGACUUCUGCAUGCUAUGUCUCCAUCAAAAACCUGGGACCUUUGUCUGUCUUUUCCUUCUCAUUUAUUGUGUAGUUUUCUGGAAUUUGUUCUGCACAUCACAGGUUGGUUUUCCCGUACUGCUGCUUUAAACUCUUUAUCAUCUUAGAUAUUUUAAAACCUUUUAAUGUCACUGCCUAACCCUUUUUGUUACGUCAUUUCUCUUUCCAUUACAUUUUAUUUCUAUGUCAUAGAUAUUCCCCUUAAUUUAUUUGGGUAUUCAAAAUACAUAUAGGUUAAAAUUCUUCCUUUAGAAUAAAUCUUCAUCUACCUCAACUGUGUCUACUCAUUCUUCCCCUCCCUUCUCCUUCCCUUUCUCUCCCCCUCUCUCCAUCUCUCCCUCCUCUUCCUUCAUUACUUUCUCUCUUCUUAUCUCCACUUUACUUUUAUCUUUUAUUUCCUUCUUCCCAGCUUUGGUUCUGCUAUCACAUCUAAUUUAAAAACCACUACUUAUUUUUAAUGAAGUGACCUCCUAAAUUCUAUAUGAAGAAACUCAGGGCUGUAUACCAUGAAAUAGAACUAAUUCUUUAGCCUCUAACUUUUGGAGUUUCGAAAGUUUUUGAGAAAAUGGUAGAAGGAAGGCUUGCCUACUAAGUUACUGUGUUCUUGAAGUAUGGCUGCUUUCAAUGGAAAGACCAGACCAGAAACAGCAAGCGUUCUUUAUAGAAGCCACUCCCAACUACCUGUCAGUCUUGUCAUCAGGAGUGGGAGAGCUAAGAACUUUCCCCAGUUCAUCCAGGAAAGGCACUGCUUGGAUUUUCUGUUGCAUCCCUUGCAACGCUGCUAUAGAGAUGUAUACUUUGCAUUGGUAUGGAUCUUGGUCUACUGAUACAAAUUUAAUGUCAAUUUUGUUAUAUGUAUAUUUCGUCUCUUAAUUAAGGUGUUAUUUUUGAAGAGCUCAUUUAAAAAUGUAAUGUAUAAUUAAGAAAUAUAGGCUAAUAGAUAGUCAUCUAUAAUAGUCAAGCUUGUAGUCAUGUUAGUUGGGUUUUCUAGAUGUACAGAGAUAUAUUUCAGAUGGAUAGUUAUCCUUCAAACCUUUCAAAGACUACAGAAUAUGGCAUUUAAAAUGUAUUAAGAACUUAGGGCUUUUCAUGACAAUGAGACUCAUCUGCUCCUGGCAGCACCAAUCUACUUCAAGAGGAAAAUGAGCACCUAAGAGGCUCCUUAUGGGGCUUGUUAGCCAUUUGGGUAAGAAAGAGUUCUUCCUGAACUGCUUGAUGGUGUGCUGUAUGAACUGGAUAUGCAAGACCCACAGAAAAAUGACCACUGAACUUGCCUAAAGGUGAGACCAUCCUUCAGGGUUCCUGUUACACAAAAGAGACUGCCAGACAUUCCGCAGGACACAGAAGAAAGCAACUGAUGGGCUUUGACAUUACAAGGGAGAACAGAUCUUCAAAUUUCCUGCUUCAUGGAAAAGUUUGUUGGAUAUUACAGGCCUGUAGCUGAAAAUGGAUGCCAGAAUAUAACAGAAGAACUUUGGGUGACUGUCCAGGUAGUGAGAUGUCUCUGUCAAUUCUAGAGUUUUGGAAGUUGCUUAAAAUGUACUUCCUGUUAACUUAGAUAAUAUUAUAUCCUUCUGGAGUUUUUGGUGGAGUUGAAAAAAGAUAGUUAUAAUUAUAAAAAAUAGAUUAGAUAUAAAACUUUAGUCUCACAAAGAUUGGAAAGAUGAUAGAGCAUUUUCCUUAAUUUGCCAAAUGCAAAUGGACUAGAUAUUGUAACUAUAAUUCUUGCUUGAUAACUGUUUUGUUACAUAAAAUUUUACUAUGUUAAAGUUAAAACCUUCCUUUUUAUUUAGAUAGAAAAGGGGAGGUGAUGUGGGAUUCCCCUCUGUAUGCUGUGAAUAUGUUUUAUUGCCAUUGGUUAAUAAAGAAGUUGCUUCGGCCAAUGGCUUAACAGAAUAAAGUCAGAUGGAAAAUCUGAACAGAGAUGUAGAGAGAGAGUAGUCGGAGUCAAAGAGAUGCCAUGUAGCUGCCAAAGGAGACAGACACCCUGGAACCUUGCUAAUAAACCACAAGCCUCAUAGUAAUACACAGAAUAAUAGAAAUGGGUUAAUGUAAGAUGUAAGAGCUAGCUAGAAAUACGCUUAAGCUAUUGGCCAAAACAAUGUUGUAACUAAUACAGUUUGUGUGUGGUUAUUUUGGGUCUGGGUGGCCAGAAAACGAACAAACAGCCUCUACCUACAUGACCCCAUGUUGUAUUCACAUCUAGAGAAUUUAAGCCUGGUUCUCAGCUCCCUCCCUAAACAUGAUCUAUACAGCUUGGUGUCUGACACCAAUUCUUUGGAAUUACAUCAUUGGCUUUACCUUCCUCAGCUGAGGUUGGGAAUCAAACAAAGUCAUUUUGUAACACACCCUCCCAUCAUUACUGUCUCGAGAGUAAGACGAUAGCUGUCUUACAUCAUCAUUCUGAGAUGCGGGAAAACAACGAUGAAGUCUGGUGUUUGGUUUACUAUACAGA
Long non-coding RNA from Alexandromys fortis (reed vole), 4076 nucleotides. RefSeq lists it as uncharacterized. Lineage: Eukaryota; Metazoa; Chordata; Mammalia; Rodentia; Cricetidae. The record is from RefSeq and is a predicted model, not a curated record. The transcript has 3 exons.